UGGAAAGAUGAAUCAAAGAAGGUAAUAAUCCUGUAGUCGAAAAUGUUGUCUCUCUUGAGUGGAUCCUGAGUACGACGGAGCACGUGAAAUUCCGUCGGAAUCUGGGAGGACCAUCUCCUAAGGCUAAAUACUCUCUAGUGACCGAUAGUGAACCAGUACCGUGAGGGAAAGGUGAAAAGCACCCCGGAAGGGGAGUGAAAUAGAACCUGAAACCGUGUGCUUACAAGUAGUCAGAGCCCGUUAAUGGGUGAUGGCGUGCCUUUUGUAGAAUGAACCGGCGAGUUACGAUUUGAUGCAAGGUUAAGCAGUAAAUGUGGAGCCGUAGCGAAAGCGAGUCUGAAUAGGGCGUUUAGUAUUUGGUCGUAGACCCGAAACCAGGUGAUCUACCCUUGGUCAGGUUGAAGUUCAGGUAACACUGAAUGGAGGACCGAACCGACUUACGUUGAAAAGUGAGCGGAUGAACUGAGGGUAGCGGAGAAAUUCCAAUCGAACCUGGAG
This 498-nucleotide ribosomal RNA is filed under the name Staphylococcus aureus. Its description in RNAcentral is "partial 23S ribosomal RNA". It matches the Rfam family "Bacterial large subunit ribosomal RNA", at positions 343 to 844 of the family's 2925-position model. The record is from RNAcentral. Lineage: Bacteria; Bacillati; Bacillota; Bacilli; Caryophanales; Staphylococcaceae.